Molecule: ribosomal RNA, 207 nt
Filed under: uncultured bacterium
Lineage: Bacteria
Description: partial 16S ribosomal RNA
Rfam family: Bacterial small subunit ribosomal RNA
Source: RNAcentral
UCCCAGUUCGGAUCGGAGUCUGCAACCCGACUCCGUGAAGCUGGAUUCGCUAGUAAUCGCGCAUCAGCCAUGGCGCGGUGAAUACGUUCCCGGGCCUUGUACACACCGCCCGUCAAGCCAUGGAAGCCGGGGGCGCCUGAAGUCCGUGACCGCGAGGAGCGGCCUAGGGUAAGACCGGUGACUGGGGCUAAGUCGUAACAAGGUAGC